RNAcentral lists this non-coding RNA (125 nucleotides) under Actinomycetota bacterium. Lineage: Bacteria; Bacillati; Actinomycetota. The record is from RNAcentral.
AACAGGGAAGCCGGUGCAAGGCCGGCGCGGUCGCGCCACUGUGACCGGGGAGUGAACCCGACGGAGCCACUGGGAGCGAUCCCGGGAAGGGUCGGGGGAGCGACGAUCCGGGAGCCAGGAGACCU